Molecule: small RNA, 691 nt
Filed under: Histoplasma ohiense
Lineage: Eukaryota; Fungi; Ascomycota; Eurotiomycetes; Onygenales; Ajellomycetaceae
Description: hypothetical lncRNA
Source: RNAcentral
GUUUCCAGUUUUCAUUAAGGUGCACAAGCAAUUUCCACCACAAUAUGGGUGUUUGUGAGCUAGGCCUAAACAUAGUGUUCUACCCCCAAUAAUAUAUGAUAGAUGCGUCACAAACUGAAAAGGAAACCCGAGCGACACCCGAUUCCAACCUGUCAAUCUCUGCCAUCUAACAACUCAAAGGAACCCGACUGGUCGGAGUACAUACACAAAACAGUUCAGCGGAGAAUCCACGUUUGAAGAAUAUCCUAUGAGUUCCAAUCUGUUUCUGUGGCUACUCUUCCCCCCUCCCGCGAGCGAGCCGCUUGAUUCCGAACCCUCAGCAUCUUUUCUUAUUUUAUUUUUUUCCAGGAUCCACACCCACAGGGGCGCCAUGCUGUAAUCGACAUAGGAUUCGUUUGCCUCUUUACUUUGAUUCUUCCGUCUCCGCAAUACGCGCAACUUUGGUUACGCGGUUCCAUUGUUAUUCCAGCACGUAUCUGAUCUGGCAUACAAGAACGAUGGUUCCAUCCAGUGUCAUGUAAUUCACAUGGUGAAGAAAGAAAUUUAUCCAAUGAGAAGGCCUGUCAGAGCUAAGAUCAAAAGAAGAUCUGUCGUCAAGGCGAUGGGUGGAUAAUGAUGUGAGAUUGGAGAGUUAUGUUCCUCUGUUCAAAUAGAGUUACGCCUGAGUUCCUAUGGGGAUGCGUCACCGGCG